RNAcentral lists this long non-coding RNA (208 nucleotides) under Apteryx owenii (little spotted kiwi). RNAcentral describes it as "lncRNA (ENSAOWG00000007552.1)". Lineage: Eukaryota; Metazoa; Chordata; Aves; Apterygiformes; Apterygidae. The record is from RNAcentral.
UACCAAGUGCAUUUUUUUAAAACGUCCCUUUGAUACUUCUUUCCCUCAUGCUUGCCAUGGAAUAUGCAACUCCUUAAGAAUGUUACACAAGAGACGUCGGUAUCCCAGCUGGAUAAUUCAUAAGCUUAAAAGCAACAGCCUUUCUUGGUACGCCUGCUUUGGCAUACAUCAGCAUUUCUACCCGUCCAAGUGUCCUUUUGCGUCACAU